GGGGGUAUAGCUCAGUGGUGGAGCACAUGCUUAGCAUGCACAAGGUCAUGGGUUGAAGCCCCAGGACCUCCA
Molecule: transfer RNA, 72 nt
Filed under: Camelus dromedarius (Arabian camel)
Lineage: Eukaryota; Metazoa; Chordata; Mammalia; Artiodactyla; Camelidae
Also listed under: 1 other name
Rfam family: tRNA
About the family: Transfer RNA (tRNA) molecules are approximately 80 nucleotides in length. Their secondary structure includes four short double-helical elements and three loops (D, anti-codon, and T loops).
Source: Rfam by way of RNAcentral